CUUUAUUUUCAACAGUGAGGUUUCCGGGUCUAUUAGAUCCGGGAUGAAAAAGGAACCGUGUGUAAAUCACGGGCUGUCGCGCAACUGUAAGUAACAUAAAAGGUUGUUGCCUUUACCAUGUCCAUUGUCUGAUGCUCCCAAGCAGGAUGAGAAGGACGGCAACAACGUUACAAGCCAGGAUACUUGCCCCCUGUUUAAGACAAUG
Molecule: non-coding RNA, 205 nt
Filed under: Mucilaginibacter mallensis
Lineage: Bacteria; Pseudomonadati; Bacteroidota; Sphingobacteriia; Sphingobacteriales; Sphingobacteriaceae
Source: RNAcentral